Molecule: ribosomal RNA, 528 nt
Filed under: uncultured bacterium
Lineage: Bacteria
Description: bacterial SSU rRNA
Rfam family: Bacterial small subunit ribosomal RNA
Source: RNAcentral
UGGGGAAUCUUGGACAAUGGGGGCAACCCUGAUCCAGCCAUGCCGCGUGAGUGAUGAAGGCCUUAGGGUCGUAAAGCUCUUUCGCCUGUGAAGAUAAUGACGGUAGCAGGUAAAGAAACCCCGGCUAACUCCGUGCCAGCAGCCGCGGUAAUACGGAGGGGGUUAGCGUUGUUCGGAAUUACUGGGCGUAAAGCGCACGUAGGCGGACCAGAAAGUUGGGGGUGAAAUCCCGGGGGCUCAACCCCGGAACUGCCUCCAAAACUAUUGGUCUAGAGUUCGAGAGAGGUGAGUGGAAUCCAAGUGUAGAGGUGAAAUUCGUAGAUAUUGGGAAGAACACCAGUGGCGAAGGCGGCUCACUGGCUCGAUACUGACGCUGAGGUGCGAAAGUGUGGGGAGCAAACAGGAUUAGAUACCCCUGGUAGUCCACACCGUAAAACGAUGAAUGCCAGUCGUCGGGUAGCAUGCUAUUCGGUGACACACCUAACGGAUUAAGCAUUCCGCCUGGGGAGUACGGUCGCAAGAUUAAAA